RNAcentral lists this ribosomal RNA (464 nucleotides) under Vreelandella stevensii. Its description in RNAcentral is "partial 16S ribosomal RNA". It matches the Rfam family "Bacterial small subunit ribosomal RNA", at positions 338 to 795 of the family's 1533-position model. Lineage: Bacteria; Pseudomonadati; Pseudomonadota; Gammaproteobacteria; Oceanospirillales; Halomonadaceae. The record is from RNAcentral.
CCUACGGGAUCUGCAGUGGGGAAUAUUGGACAAUGGGCGAAAGCCUGAUCCAGCCAUGCCGCGUGUGUGAAGAAGGCCUUCGGGUUGUAAAGCACUUUCAGUGGGGAAGAAAGCCUUGGGGCUAAUACCCUCGAGGAAGGACAUCACCCACAGAAGAAGCACCGGCUAACUCCGUGCCAGCAGCCGCGGUAAUACGGAGGGUGCGAGCGUUAAUCGGAAUUACUGGGCGUAAAGCGCGCGUAGGCGGUCUGAUAAGCCGGUUGUGAAAGCCCCGGGCUCAACCUGGGAACGGCAUCCGGAACUGUCAGGCUAGAGUGCAGGAGAGGAAGGUAGAAUUCCCGGUGUAGCGGUGAAAUGCGUAGAGAUCGGGAGGAAUACCAGUGGCGAAGGCGGCCUUCUGGACUGACACUGACGCUGAGGUGCGAAAGCGUGGGUAGCAAACAGGAUUAGAUACCCCGGUAGUC